Molecule: ribosomal RNA, 433 nt
Filed under: uncultured bacterium
Lineage: Bacteria
Description: partial 16S ribosomal RNA
Rfam family: Bacterial small subunit ribosomal RNA
Source: RNAcentral
AACGAACGCUGGCGGCAGGCCUAACACAUGCAAGUCGAGCGGACCCUUCGGGGUUAGCGGCGGACGGGUGAGUAACGCGUGGGAAUAUGCCCUUCUCUACGGAAUAGUCCUGGGAAACUGGGGGUAAUACCGUAUACGCCCUUUGGGGGAAAGAUUUAUCGGGGAAGGAUUAGCCCGCGUUGGAUUAGGUAGUUGGUGGGGUAAUGGCCUACCAAGCCGACGAUCCAUAGCUGGUUUGAGAGGAUGAUCAGCCACACUGGGACUGAGACACGGCCCAGACUCCUACGGGAGGCAGCAGUGGGGAAUCUUAGACAAUGGGUGCAACCCUGAUCUAGCCAUGCCGCGUGAGUGAUGAAGGCCUUAGGGUUGUAAAGCUCUUUCAGCUGGGAAGAUAAUGACGGUACCAGCAGAAGAAGCCCCGGCUAACUCCGUG